CCCUGUUAUACCAGUCUUAGAAAGUUUUACUUGGGUAGUAAUCAGGUAAGAUCUUGAAAUCUAAAGAAUUUGGCGGUAUUUUAGUCUAUUUAGAGGAACCUGUUCUAUAAGCGAUAAUCCACGUAGUAUCUUGCUUUAUUUUGUGUCCAGUUUGUAUACCGCCAUAAUUUGGCUUUAUUAUAAAAUACAUUCCAUAAUAAAUAGUUGUUUACCACAUUAGGUCAAGGUGCAGCUUAUAAUAAAGUAGUUAAUGGGUUACAAUACAAUUUAUGUAUACGAAAAGAAAGACUAAGGCCUUUUUGGAAGGCGGAUUUAAUAGUAUUCUGAGUUUAAUAUGCUCAGUUGAAGCUGCUCUAAAAUAUGUACACAUCGCCC
This 375-nucleotide ribosomal RNA is filed under the name Cuapetes elegans. Its description in RNAcentral is "partial 12S ribosomal RNA". The record is from RNAcentral. Lineage: Eukaryota; Metazoa; Arthropoda; Malacostraca; Decapoda; Palaemonidae.